Molecule: ribosomal RNA, 253 nt
Filed under: uncultured bacterium
Lineage: Bacteria
Description: partial 16S ribosomal RNA
Rfam family: Bacterial small subunit ribosomal RNA
Source: RNAcentral
UACGUAGGGAGCAGGCGUUGUCCGGAAUCAUUGGGCGUAAAGCGCGCGUAGGUGGCCUCAUAAGUCCGCUGUGAAAGUCAAAGGCUCAACCUUUGAAAGCCGGUGGAUACUGUGAGGCUAGAGUACGGAAGAGGCGAGUGGAAUUCCUGGUGUAGCGGUGGAAUGCGCAGAUAUCAGGAGGAACACCGGUGGCGAAGGCGGGUCUCUGGGCCGAUAUUGACGCUGAGGAGCGAAAGCGUGGGGAGCGAACAGG